UUUGGAGCUAGCCGUCGAAGGUGGGACAAAUGAUUGGGGUGAAGUCGUAACAAGGUAGCCGUAUCGGAAGGUGCGGCUGGAUCACCUCCUUUCUAAGGA
This 99-nucleotide ribosomal RNA is filed under the name Staphylococcus delphini. RNAcentral describes it as "partial 16S ribosomal RNA". It matches the Rfam family "Bacterial small subunit ribosomal RNA", at positions 1442 to 1533 of the family's 1533-position model. RNAcentral also lists the same sequence under 1 other name. Lineage: Bacteria; Bacillati; Bacillota; Bacilli; Caryophanales; Staphylococcaceae. The record is from RNAcentral.